RNAcentral lists this ribosomal RNA (218 nucleotides) under uncultured fungus. RNAcentral's name for it is "partial small subunit ribosomal RNA". The record is from RNAcentral. Lineage: Eukaryota; Fungi.
GGUUUCGGGUCACGGUCUGCUCCACAGUGGGUAAGUACCAGUGAAUCGGAGCCAUCCUCGGGGAGAACAUAUCUGUGAUUGAGUUCAUGGGUAUGGGAGCCUCGUCAUUUACUGUGAGCAAAAUAGGGUGUUCAAAGCAGGCUUACGCCAUUGAAUACAUUAGCAUGGAAUAAUAAGAUAGGACCUUGGUCUAUUUUGUUGGUUAGUACUCCAAGGUA